RNAcentral lists this ribosomal RNA (477 nucleotides) under uncultured bacterium. RNAcentral's name for it is "partial 16S ribosomal RNA". It matches the Rfam family "Bacterial small subunit ribosomal RNA", at positions 899 to 1397 of the family's 1533-position model. The record is from RNAcentral.
ACUCAAAGGAAUUGACGGGGGCCCGCACAAGCAGCGGAGCGUGUGGUUUAAUUCGAUGCAACGCGAAGAACCUUACCCAGACUUGACAUGCUGUGGAAAGCCGGGGAAACCCGGCCCCCUUCGGGCCGCAGCACAGAUGUUGCAUGGCUGUCGUCAGCUCGUGUCGUGAGAUGUUGGGUUAAGUCCCGCAACGAGCGCAACCCUCGUGUCAUGUUGCCAAUCAUGACAGACUGCCGGUACAAGCCGGAGGAAGGUGGGGAUGAUGUCAAGUCCGCAUGGCUCCUACGUCUGGGGCUACACACACGCUACAAUGGCCGGGACAGAGGGAAGCCACGGGGCGACCCGGAGCGGAUCCCAAAACCCGGUCUCAGUUCGGAUGGUAGGCUGCAACUCGCCUGCCUGAAGUCGGAGUUGCUAGUAACCGCGUGUCAGCAUAGCGCGGUGAAUAUGUUCCCGGGCCUUGUACACACCGCCCGU